GGAUGUUCUUCCUUAUUGUCUACAGAGCACAUUGACUUUCCCAGCCAGGUCAUUCCUGGCAGGCACACAAGCCCUUCUCAAAGUCCCAUAUGAAAUAUUUGAGACUACCUGACAGCUGAAGUGACUGACACGUCACAGAAGAGGCACAUGUCUGCAGGCACUUGAGGGCUGCAGCUGCACAGAGCUCCAAAACGCUGCACUGGAUACUCAGUGACUAGAGAACGUGCAGUGGGAUUUACAGACUGAGUGCAAAGUGCAGAAGGAGGUCUGUUUUCCCAAUCCAAAUGGUGACUGUGUAAUGUGGUUUUCAGAGAGAGCCAGGGAGCUUCCACUCAGGCUCACGGCACCCACCAAAGCCAGGGAGGUUCAGCUGUGGCACAGCAUCACAAACUCUUGGGUCUCCAAAGAUGUAAAGUGAACCAGGAUGAGUGGGAAUUCAUGCUGGUAUCUCGAUUGUCUGCAUCAGAGGAGGCCCUACAACAGGGAAAAACAGGAAUCUCCAGUGAGAAUGAUGUAUGACCAUGGCAAGGUCUUUCUGCUCAGCAAAACCAGAGAGGACAAUGGUAGCUGGCAGCUGCUGUGUCAGCUGCCAUCCUUGCUGUGGAUUUGUGUGGGGCUAGGAGCACGCUCCCUGCCAGUUUGCAGGGCUCAGCUCACCUGCAGCAAUCUGUCCAGCAGUAGCAACUCCAUGGCUCCCAUUGUCUCCUCAGAUGACAAACCAGCAAAGUGCUUUGAGGCAGUAGUGCCCAGUUUUUCAGCUCUGCCAACUUCCUCAGAAAGCAGCACCCAGUUGUGUUACCUUUAUUUUUUAAUCCAAAGUAGUUACAAACAAGGGGUUUGCUGGUUGCUUUGGACAGCCUUCAGGAAUCUGGCAGGUGUGGCAAACACAAGAACUGCCACCCCAAAGCUCUUGGUGCUGCUGCUCCUUCAGGAGAUGGGGGAACAAGUUGGUGUCUCCUGCAAAAACUUCUUUAUGAUCAUUUCUAGUACAAUACUAUAAGAAACCUCUUUUUCUUGCCCCAGUGAUAUGAGAGGUAUGAAACACUGCCUUGAGCACAGAUCAAAGAAAGAUGAUAAAAAAAACUCUUUCCCCUUGUGCAUUCAAAACCCUCCAUCACAUAUUGCACACCACAGAUUGUGCUUCCUACCAGUGCCCUCUGAAGGGUCCUCUGCUGUUAGUUUGGCAGCAAUAAGACACCUUGCAUCCAAAAUAGAUCCCUCACUAGACCCUGGGGGAACCCAGAGGAAAUGAAAAAACUGGCAUUUGUCAGCAAAAUGUAGUGUAAUUCACAUCUUCCAUCAGGAAUCCGUGUGCACAGCCAUGCCUGGUG
Long non-coding RNA from Passer domesticus (house sparrow), 1331 nucleotides. RefSeq lists it as uncharacterized. The record is from RefSeq and is a predicted model, not a curated record. NCBI's taxonomy places the organism in Eukaryota, Metazoa, Chordata, Aves, Passeriformes, Passeridae. The transcript has 3 exons.